RNA transcript from Nycticebus coucang (slow loris), 4024 nucleotides. It is a transcript of the gene named zinc finger protein 347-like, with no coding region annotated. NCBI's taxonomy places the organism in Eukaryota, Metazoa, Chordata, Mammalia, Primates, Lorisidae. The record is from RefSeq and is a predicted model, not a curated record. The transcript has 6 exons.
GCAGUACAGCUGCCCACAGACCCGGAAGUCGCUGUCUGGACCGCUGUGUCCGGAUUGCCUUCUAAAGAAUCCAAUUACAUGAAGAAGCCCAGAAGAAGAAAGAAAAGGAUUCAGAAAUGGCUCUUACUCAGAGGCGAUUAACAUUCAGGGAUGUGGCCGUGGAGUUCUCUGAGGAGGAGUGGAUGUUUCUGGACCCUGCUCAAAGGAGUUUAUACAGGGACGUGACGUUGGAGAACUAUAGGAACCUGGUCUUCGUGGGUAUCUUUUCUGCAUGUGUGAUAAAUGAAUUGCCAGCUAUAGACAGCAGUAGUACAGAAGAAAUAUCCCCCACAAUGAUGUUGGAAAGGAAUGAAAACCAUGACACUGAAGACUUUUGCUUUAGGGAAAUCCAGAAGAAUAUACAUAACUUUGUGAGUCAGUGGAGAGAUGAUGAAAGACAUUGCAGUGGAGUCCGUAUGACCCCUCAGGGAAAUCUCACUGGUAGGAGAGAUCAGCAUGAUAGGAAGGAUUCAGAAAACAAGCUUGUUAAUAAUCAGCUGGGAUUGAACACCCAGUCAGAUAUGCCGGAAAUGCAGGUAUUGAAGAUUGAAGAGAAAAUUUAUGAAUGUAAUCUCAUGGAGCCAUCUGUCAACAGUGAGUUCUUGAUUUCCCCACCCCACAGAAUUCGUUCUACUAUGACACCCCACCUUUCUCAUGAACAUGAGUAUGAUCUUAUGGAUUCAUUAUUCCCACAAAGAGAAAAACCAGAGAUAGUGACAGAACGUUACAAAUGUACUGAUUGGGACAAGGUCUUUAAUCAAGGGUUAUAUUUCAAUAUUCAGGAAGUAAUGAAUGGGGAAGGGAAUCAAUUUAAAUGUGAUAUAUGUGCCAAGGUAUUCAAUAAAAAAUCAAGCCUUAGAAGACAUCAGAAAGUUCAUGCUGUAAAGAAAACUUACAAGUGUAAUGAAUGUGGUAAGCUAUUCCAUGCAAGUUCAAUGCUUGGACAAGAUUGGAAAAUUCCUACAGGUGGAAAACCUUACAAAUGUAAUGAAUGUGGAGAAGCAUUCCGAGUAAGUUCCUCUGUUGUAGAACACAGGAGAAUUCACACUGGAGAGAAACCUUACAAAUGUAAUGAAUGUGGCAAAAUGUUCACUCGUAAAUCAUCCGUAGCACAUCACUGGAGGAUUCAUACUGGAGAGAGACCUUACAAAUGUAAUGAAUGUGGAAAGCUAUUCCGUGGAAGUUCAGCCCUUGUACAGCAUCGGAGAAUUCACACUGGAGAGAAACCUUACAAAUGUAAUGAAUGUGGCAAAAGGUUCAGUCACAAAUCAUCCCUAGCAUAUCACUGCAGGAUUCAUACUGGAGAGAAACCUUACGAAUGUAAUGAAUGUGGAAAGGUAUUUAAUCGUAUUUCACACCUUGCACGACAUCAGGGAAUUCACACUGGAGAAAAACCUUACAAAUGUAAUGAAUGUGGCAGAAGAUUCACUCGCAAAUCAUCCCUAACACAUCACUGCAGGAUUCACACUGGAGAGAAACCUUACAAAUGUAAUGAAUGUGGCAAAAUGUACAGUAGCAAGUCAUCCCUAGGACAGCAUUGGAAGAUUCAUGCUGAGAGAAACCUUACAAAUGUUAUGAAUGUUACUAGGCCUUCAGUUGCAAUUCACACCUUUCAUGACAUCUAAUAAUUCAUACUGAUGCCUUUGACGUUUUGGAAUGUGGCCAUAGAAUUCUCUCAGGAGGAGUGGACGUACCUGGACCCUGCUCAGAGGGUUUUAUACAGGUACGUGAUGUUGGAGAACUAUAGGAACCUGGUCUCUCUGGGGAGGAGCUGUGUAUUGGGAAAGGAUACAAGAUACAAGCCUAUUAAAGAUCAACUCAGAUUCACUCCCAUCUGCCAUUUCAAGAUGAAGAUAAAAUUGAUGAAUGGAAUGAAGUUGAAAACUCUCUUAACCAGGCUCAACAUCCGUAGGACAUUGGUUAUGGUGCCAGCCACAUACACUAAGUUGGCAGGUUCAAACCCAGCCCAGGCCAGCUAACCAACAAUGACAACUGUAACAAAAAAUAGCUGGGCGUAUUUGGGGUGGGGGCCUGUAAUCCCAGCUACUUGAAAGGCUGAGACAAGAAAAUUGCUUGAGCCUGCGAGUUUGAGGUUGCUAUGAGCUGUGACCCCAUGGCACUCUACUGAGGGUGACAUAGUGAGACUCUGUCUCAAAAAAAAAAAAAAAAGAAAGGGUGGCACCUGUGGCUCAGUCGGUAAGGCGCCGGCCCCAUAUACCGAGGGUGACGGGUUCAAACCCGGCCACAGCCAAACUGCAACCAAAAAAUAGCUGGGCGUUGUGGCGGGCGCCUGUAGUCCCAGCUACUCGGGAGGCUGAGGCAAGAGAAUCGCUUAAGCCCUGAAGUUGGAGGUUGCUGUGAGCUGUGUGAGGCCACGGCACUCUACCGAGGGCCAUAAAGUGAGACUCUGUCUCUACAAAAACCCACAAAAACUCUCUCACCUGUAUUGCCUCAUGUUCACCACUUGAAAACAUUACUUUUAAACUCAAAACUUAUCACAUAUGGGCUUGGGGCCUGUGGCUCAGAAGCUAGGACACCAGCCACAUACAUCAGAGCUGGUGGGUUCAAAUCCAGCCCCAGACUGCCAAACAACGACAACGGCAACCAAAAACAAACUUCAUGUACAUCAGAUUAUUCAUAAUGUAAAUAAAUUCUAUAUAUGUGAUGAGUAUGGUAAGGUUUUUAGGUACAAAGUAUCCUUAAGAGUUAACUUCAGUAUUUAUACCAGAGAGAAACAUCACAAAUCUAAUGACUGUGGCAAGGUCUUCAGUUUAAAAUUGUACCUCGGGCUCAGUGCCAAUAGCACAGUGGUUACGACGCCAGCCACAUAUACCAAGGCUGGCAGGUUUGAACCCCGCCUGGGCCUGCUGAACAACAAUGACAACUACAAAAAAAAAAAAAAAAUAGCUGGGUGUUGUGGCAGGCGCUUGUAGUCCUAGCUACUUGGGAGGCUGAGGCAAGAGAAUUGCUUAAGCCCAAGAGUUUGAGGUUCCUAUGAGCUGCGGCACCACAGCCCUCUACUGAGGGUGACAUAGUGAGACUCUAUCUCAAAAAAUAAAUAAAUAAAAAAGCACCUCAAAAGUCAUCAAAGAUUUCACACAGGAGAGAAACUUUACAAAUGGAAUGUAUGCAGUAAGGCCUUUAUUUUAUUUUAUUUUUUUUUUUUUUUUGAGACAGAGUCUCACAAUGUCACCCUUGGUAGAGUGCUAUGGCGUCAUAGCUCACUGCAAUCUCAAACUCUUGGGCUCAAGUGAUUUUCUUGCCUUAGCCUACCUGGUAGCUGGGACUAUAGGCACCCACCACAAUGCCCGGCUAUUUCUUGUUAUUGUUGUCUGUUUGUUUAGCAGGCUUAAGCCGGGUUUGAACCCACCAGCUCUGUUGGAUGUGGCUGGUGCCCUAACUGCUCAUCUACAAGCGCUGAGCCUGCAGUAAGGCCUUUAGUCACAUUUCAUACCUUGCAUAGCAUCAGAGAAUUCAUUUGUGAGAGACUCUGCGGACUCAUUGAGGGUGACAACUUCUCAUCAUGAGUUCCAUCAUUAGUCAGCAUCACGGAGUCCAUACUAAAGAGAAAUCAAAUAAAUGCAAAGUAUGUGGCUGGGCUUUAUCCAGGCCUGACCACUCACUCACUCCUCAUUACACAACUACAGGUACAUCUUCCAUGAAACCUCCCAAAUGAAAUGUUUGUCAUGGGACUAAUACCUAAGGACCUUACUGUGGAAUAUCAGAAUUUGCACAAAAAAUAAAGUAGUUUCUAGUUUUCCAGUAUUUAAUGUCUGAUGUUACAUGGUGGAGAGUAACUAUAAUCAAAAUAGAUUGACCACCAUGACAUGACACGUAUCACACAUACAAGGACAUAGGGACAUAGUUAGGGAUUUUUAAGUUAUACAAUGUUUCAUUAUUUGAGGUUCUUUGAAAAGGCUACUUUUCUUUUUCUUUUUUUUUUUUUUAAUUUUUUUUUGUAGAGACAGAGUCUCACUUUAUGGCC